This 493-nucleotide ribosomal RNA is filed under the name uncultured bacterium. RNAcentral describes it as "bacterial SSU rRNA". It matches the Rfam family "Bacterial small subunit ribosomal RNA", at positions 29 to 520 of the family's 1533-position model. The record is from RNAcentral.
AUUGAACGCUGGCGGAAUGCUUUACACAUGCAAGUCGAGCGGCAGCGCGGGGCAACCUGGCGGCGAGCGGCGAACGGGUGAGUAAUACAUCGGAACGUGCCCAGACGUGGGGGAUAACUACUCGAAAGAGUGGCUAAUACCGCAUACGAUCUAAGGAUGAAAGCGGGGGAUCGCAAGACCUCGCGCGUCUGGAGCGGCUGAUGGCAGAUUAGGUAGUUGGUGGGGUAAAGGCUUACCAAGCCUGCGAUCUGUAGCUGGUCUGAGAGGAUGAUCAGCCACACUGGGACUGAGACACGGCCCAGACUCCUACGGGAGGCAGCAGUGGGGAAUUUGGACAAUGGGCGAAAGCCUGAUCCAGCCAUGCCGCGUGCGGGAAGAAGGCCUUCGGGUUGUAACCGCUUUAGUCCGGAAAAGGGGUGCGAGGAGUAAUACCUUGUGCUUUGAUGGUACUGGAAGAAUAAGACACCGGCUAACUACGUGCCAGCAGACCCGG